CAGAGACACUCGAAGAACAACAACGAUCUUGCCUUCUUUACGUACGAUGAGAAGAGAAAGUUAGGGUAUGGAACACAAAAGGAGAGGCUGGGAAAAGAUUCAAUCAAGCCAUUCGAUGCUUGUUCCCUUUGUUUAAAACCCUUCAUCGAUCCGUUGUGUUGCCAGAAAGGGCAUGUCUUUUGCAAAGAAUGCAUUCUAGAAUGCCUUUUGUCCCAGAAAAAGGAUAUCCAAAGAAAGUUAGCUGCUCAUACAGGUCAGCAGAAGCAAGAAAAAGAAGAGGAAGAGGAGAGGUUGAUGCUGCAGAAAGCCAGGGAUCUUGAUGCAUUUGAUCAACAAAAUCAUGGUCCAGUUCCGCAGUACAAUGAUAAGAACUACAACAGAGACAAAAAUGGAUUCCAUGGAGCUAACAGUGUGAAAGCUACUUCUUAUGAGGAGGAAGCACUUAGAACCAUGAAAGCAUUUUGGCUGCCCUCU
Molecule: unclassified non-coding RNA, 474 nt
Filed under: Hevea brasiliensis (rubber tree)
Lineage: Eukaryota; Viridiplantae; Streptophyta; Magnoliopsida; Malpighiales; Euphorbiaceae
Source: RNAcentral